Poecile atricapillus (Black-capped chickadee) is the source of this 169-nucleotide long non-coding RNA. RefSeq lists it as uncharacterized. The transcript has 3 exons. NCBI's taxonomy places the organism in Eukaryota, Metazoa, Chordata, Aves, Passeriformes, Paridae. The record is from RefSeq and is a predicted model, not a curated record.
GGCAUCGGCAUCGGGAGGCGGCGGCACCACCGGUACCACUGGCAGCGAGGCAGGUUUUCACUUUGUGACUGUCUUCUAAGGCAAACAUUCACCGAUGGAAGAAAAACUUUUUCCAGCAUUUUGGGCUUCUGAUGAACAGAGCAAGAGUCUUCCCCAAGGAGCAUCUUCA